Molecule: ribosomal RNA, 429 nt
Filed under: Acidobacteriota bacterium
Lineage: Bacteria; Pseudomonadati; Acidobacteriota
Description: Acidobacteria bacterium partial 16S ribosomal RNA
Rfam family: Bacterial small subunit ribosomal RNA
Source: RNAcentral
UGGGGAAUUUUGGACAAUGGGGGAAACCCUGAUCCAGCCAUCCCGCAUGUGCGAUGAAGGCCUUCGGGUUGUAAAGCACUCUUGGCAGGAAAGAAACGUCAUGGGUUAAUACCCCGUGAAACUGACGGUACCUGCAGAAUAAGCACCGGCUAACUACGUGCCAGCAGCCGCGGUAAUACGUAGGGUGCAAGCGUUAAUCGGAAUUACUGGGCGUAAAGCGUGCGCAGGCGGUUCGGAAAGAAAGAUGUGAAAUCCCAGAGCUCAACUUUGGAACUGCAUUUUUAACUACCGGGCUAGAGUGUGUCAGAGGGAGGUGGAAUUCCGCGUGUAGCAGUGAAAUGCGUAGAUAUGCGGAGGAACACCGAUGGCGAAGGCAGCCUCCUGGGAUAACACUGACGCUCAUGCACGAAAGCGUGGGGAGCAAACAGG